Molecule: ribosomal RNA, 465 nt
Filed under: uncultured bacterium
Lineage: Bacteria
Description: partial 16S ribosomal RNA
Rfam family: Bacterial small subunit ribosomal RNA
Source: RNAcentral
GACGAACGCUGGCGGCGUGCUUAACACAUGCAAGUCGAACGGAAAGGCCCCUUUGGGGGUACUCGAGUGGCGAACGGGUGCGUAACACGUGAGUAACCUGCCCUUGACUUCGGGAUAACUUCAGGAAACUGGGGCUAAUACCGGAUAGGAAUCCUUGCUGCAUGGUGGGGGUUGGAAAGCUUCGGCGGUUUUGGAUGGACUCGCGGCUUAUCAGCUUGUUGGUGGGGUAGUGGCUUACCAAGGCUUUGACGGGUAGCCGGCCUGAGAGGGCGACCGGCCACAUUGGGACUGAGAUACGGCCCAGACUCCGACGGGAGGCAGCAGGGGGGAAGAUUGCACAAUGGGCGGAAGCCUGAUGCAGAAACGCCGCGUGCGGGAUGACGGCCUUCGGGUUGUAAACCGCUUUCAGCAGGGGCGAAGCUUGUGGUGACGGUACCUGCAGAAGAAGCACCGGCUAACUACGUG